GAUGAACGCUGGCGGCGUGCCUAAUACAUGCAAGUCGAGCGAACGGACGAGAAGCUUGCUUCUCUGUUGUUAGCGGCGGACGGGUGAGUAACACGUGGAUAACCUACCUAUAAGACUGGGAUAACUUCGGGAAACCGGAGCUAAUACCGGAUAAUAUUUUGAACCGCAUGGUUCAAAAGUGAAAGACGGUCUUGCUGUCACUUAUAGAUGGAUCCGCGCUGCAUUAGCUAGUUGGUAAGGUAACGGCUUACCAAGGCAACGAUGCAUAGCCGACCUGAGAGGGUGAUCGGCCACACUGGAACUGAGACACGGUCCAGACUCCUACGGGAGGCAGCAGUAGGGAAUCUUCCGCAAUGGGCGAAAGCCUGACGGAGCAACGCCGCGUGAGUGAUGAAGGUCUUCGGAUCGUAAAACUCUGUUAUUAGGGAAGAACAUAUGUGUAAGUAACUGUGCACAUCUUGACGGUACCUAAUCAGAAAGCCACGGCUAACUACGUGCCAGCAGCCGCGGUAAUACGUAGGUGGCAAGCGUUAUCCGGAAUUAUUGGGCGUAAAGCGCGCGUAGGCGGUUUUUUAAGUCUGAUGUGAAAGCCCACGGCUCAACCGUGGAGGGUCAUUGGAAACUGGAAAACUUGAGUGCAGAAGAAGAAAGUGGAAUUCCAUGUGUAGCGGUGAAAUGCGCAGAGAUAUGGAGGAACACCAGUGGCGGAAGCGACUUUCUGGUCUGUAACUGACGCUGAUGUGCGAAAGCGUGGGAUCAACCCAGGAUUAGAUACCCUGGUAGUCCACGCCGUAAACGAUGAGUGCUAAGUGUUAGGGGGUUUCCGCCCCUUAGUGCUGCAGCUAACGCAUUAAGCACUCCGCCUGGGGAGUACGACCGCAAGGUUGAAACUCAAAGGAAUUGACGGGGACCCGCACAAGCGGUGGAGCAUGUGGUUUAAUUCGAAGCAACGCGAAGAACCUUACCAAAUCUUGACAUCCUUUGACAACUCUAGAGAUAGAGCCUUCCCCUUCGGGGGACAAAGUGACAGGUGGUGCAUGGUUGUCGUCAGCUCGUGUCGUGAGAUGUUGGGUUAAGUCCCGCAACGAGCGCAACCCUUAAGCUUAGUUGCCAUCAUUAAGUUGGGCACUCUAAGUUGACUGCCGGUGACAAACCGGAGGAAGGUGGGGAUGACGUCAAAUCAUCAUGCCCCUUAUGAUUUGGGCUACACACGUGCUACAAUGGACAAUACAAAGGGCAGCGAAACCGCGAGGUCAAGCAAAUCCCAUAAAGUUGUUCUCAGUUCGGAUUGUAGUCUGCAACUCGACUACAUGAAGCUGGAAUCGCUAGUAAUCGUAGAUCAGCAUGCUACGGUGAAUACGUUCCCGGGUCU
Molecule: ribosomal RNA, 1372 nt
Filed under: uncultured bacterium
Lineage: Bacteria
Description: bacterial SSU rRNA
Rfam family: Bacterial small subunit ribosomal RNA
Source: RNAcentral